UACGUAGGGUGCGAGCGUUGUCCGGAAUUAUUGGGCGUAAAGAGCUCGUAGGCGGUGUGUCGCGUCGGCCGUGAAAACCUGCAGCUUAACUGUGGGAUUGCGGUCGAUACGGGCAUCACUGGAGUUCGGCAGGGGAGACUGGAAUUCCUGGUGUAGCGGUGAAAUGCGCAGAUAUCAGGAGGAACACCGGUGGCUAAGGCGGGUCUCUGGGCCGAUACUGACGCUGAGGAGCGAAAGCGUGGGGAGCGAACAGG
RNAcentral lists this ribosomal RNA (254 nucleotides) under uncultured bacterium. RNAcentral's name for it is "partial 16S ribosomal RNA". It matches the Rfam family "Bacterial small subunit ribosomal RNA", at positions 524 to 776 of the family's 1533-position model. The record is from RNAcentral.